RNAcentral lists this long non-coding RNA (696 nucleotides) under Homo sapiens (human). RNAcentral describes it as "HSALNT0369853". The record is from RNAcentral. Lineage: Eukaryota; Metazoa; Chordata; Mammalia; Primates; Hominidae.
AGACGCCGAGAAGGGGCUGGAGAAAGCAGGCAGCAACGCUAGGCCGCGGGGCAGAGCCGCGGUUCGGACUCUCUCUUCCCCGGCGCUCCGAGCUGCGGAAGCCCAGGCCGUCCGCCGCUCCCCGGCGCACGCGGCCGCGCCUCGCCGCCCUCCCCGAGUUUGCCAUCUCCGUACCACCACCACCACCACACACAGCACCCUCAAGACUCCCUGUGAUCCUGGGAUGCACUCAACGAAGAGUGUGUGGCCCAGGAUUUGAUGGAAAUGCUACAAGAGAAGCAGGCUCUCCCCUUCUGAAAUGAUGAGUGAUAAUGACCAUACAGGUCAACUUUUCCACCACUUGGAGGGAGCCUGUCAAAGAACAAAGGCAACAGAGAAGAGAGCAGAGCUGAGGUUGGGUGAGAGGGAGAAAUUCCUGAGUGCUUGAAUCCCACAUGCCGGAAGCCGCACCACACUUGGACUUCUCAAUACAGGAGCCACUCUGCAGGCAUUUAUUGGCAGGCUACACCUAAGACUUUCUCUGCAGAAAAAUGUUCUAGAUGCACAGAUUUGGGGGCUUGAUUGACAACCUGACACCUCACUCUAAAUCCGCAUGGGUCUGUUGACCUCAGGUGAGAACACUUGUUCUAAGGGAGUGGAAGGUCUUUAUUAAGAUAACCCUGAGAAAUAAAAGUCUGCCUUGAGCAUUGUAUGGGA